Molecule: ribosomal RNA, 319 nt
Filed under: uncultured eukaryote
Lineage: Eukaryota
Description: partial 18S ribosomal RNA
Rfam family: Eukaryotic small subunit ribosomal RNA
Source: RNAcentral
CCCUUAGAUGUUCUGGGCAGCACGCGCGCUACAAUGGUCUUCGCAAACGGAUGCAUUCUCGAAGGAGAAUGCCAAUCUUGGAAUCUAUGCCUUGGUCGGGACAGUUGCUUGCAAUUUUUCGACUCGAACCAGGAAUUCCUUGUAAUCGUGAUUCAUCACAUCACGAUGAAUACGUCCCUGCCCUUUGUACGCACCGCCCGUCGCUCCUACCGAUCGAAGAGUUAGGUGAAUUGUUUUGAUCGAUACGAUUUGACUAUGGUCAACUCUCGUUGUGAAAUUCUGUGAAUCUGACUGUUUAGAGGAAGGAAAAGUCGUAACA